This 301-nucleotide ribosomal RNA is filed under the name uncultured bacterium. Its description in RNAcentral is "partial 16S ribosomal RNA". It matches the Rfam family "Bacterial small subunit ribosomal RNA", at positions 509 to 807 of the family's 1533-position model. The record is from RNAcentral.
CAGUCGCCGCGGUAAUGCGUAGGUGGCAAGCGUUGUCCGGAAUUAUUGGGCGUAAAGGGCUCGCAGGCGGUUUCUUAAGUCUGAUGUGAAAGCCCCCGGCUCAACCGGGGAGGGUCAUUGGAAACUGGGAAACUUGAGUGCAGAAGAGGAGAGUGGAAUUCCACGUGUAGCGGUGAAAUGCGUAGAGAUGUGGAGGAACACCAGUGGCGAAGGCGACUCUCUGGUCUGUAACUGACGCUGAGGAGCGAAAGCGUGGGGAGCGAACAGGAUUAGAGACCCGUGUAGUCCCUGUCUCUUAUAC